This 659-nucleotide long non-coding RNA is filed under the name Marmota monax (woodchuck). The record is from RNAcentral. Lineage: Eukaryota; Metazoa; Chordata; Mammalia; Rodentia; Sciuridae.
CUAGCAUGCCUGAGGCACUGGGUUCAAUCCUCAGCACCACAUAAAAAUAAAUAAAAUAAAGGUAUUCUGUCCAUCUACAACUACAAAAAAUAAAAAAUGAAAGAAAAAAAAAAGAAAUUGCUGAGACCCACAAAAGGGAAGAGGUGCUGAAACAUGGGAAAUUAAGACAUGGAUGAUAAUAUGACCAUAAUACUGGACAAUACUAUACGAAUUUACAUGAACUAGACCACGGUGGGGAAACUAUAGCCCAUGGACCAAUCCCAGCCUGUUUGUGUAAAGUUUUAUUGGAAUAUUGCCAUAUUCAUUCAUGUACAUAUAUUCUUUUCUUUCUUUUUUUUUUUUUUUUGUGUGUGUGGUGCUGGGGAUUGAAACCAGGGCUUUGUGCAUACAAGGCAAGCACUCUACCAACUGAACUAUAUCCCCAACCCCCUCAUGUACAUAUUUUCUGUGGUUGCUUUUGUGCUAAAACAGAGUUCAGAGUUGUUGUUUUUUUAAAAUAUUUAUUUUUUAGGUGUAGAUGGACACAACACAAUGCCUUUAUUUUUAUGUGGUGCUGAGGAUCGAACCCGGGUCCCACCCGUGCUAGGCGAGCGCUCUACCGCUGAGCCACAAUCCCAGCCCCAAGUUCAGAGUUUUAAUGGAGAUCAAAUAUACCCCAC